AAACCCAAGGGCUGUCUACAGCAACACGGCCUGCAAUGGAAUAAAGACCCAGAAGCCAACAGCAGCGAGGCCGGAGACACAGAAAACACAACCAGAGUCUUCAGGGCAGCAACAGGAGAUGCAGCUUUAAGGGUCCAUCAGGCAGGAAGAACGACCCGGAAGAGGCUUGCCUCAGGCCAGACCCAAUGACUUUGGCUGGGUGUAUCCCUACUACAGUGAGAUGUGAACUCUGGAACCUCUCAAGCUACAAGCCAUUCCCCACAGGAUUAUCUGCCUUCACUUUUCUAAUGUAACAACUGCUUUCCAAGGCAGUGUAGCACAGGUGAUUAAGAGUGGAUACUGCUGCAAGAUUGCCUGGAUUUCGAAGCUGGCUCUACUACUUACUGGCUGUGCAAUCUUGCGCAAGCCACUUAACCUGUCUGUGGUUCAGUUCCCUUAGCUAUAAAAAGGAGACAGAAAUAGUACCUACCUCACACGUUGCUAUGAGGAUUAAUUGAAAUAAUAUAAAUAGAAAGCACCAAGAAUAGUGUGGCACAGAGAGUAUUAUGUAAGUGUAUGCUAUAAUUAUUAAUGAUACCUUCUAUUUUCAUAAAUGUUUUUCCCUUUAUUAAGAGUUUUGUAAAGGAAUUAAUCUUGUAUAGUUCAUACCUGUGUUCCUCCAUUGCAUAGAGCAUAGCUUUUAUUUGCUAUAGCAAAUAACAUUUUUGCAAAUAGCAAAGAAAAUUUUGUUGAAUAAAUAAAUGAGUGAAUGAAUUCCUAUA
This is a long non-coding RNA of Pan troglodytes (chimpanzee), 761 nucleotides long. RefSeq lists it as uncharacterized. The record is from RefSeq and is a predicted model, not a curated record. NCBI's taxonomy places the organism in Eukaryota, Metazoa, Chordata, Mammalia, Primates, Hominidae. The transcript is spliced from 2 exons.